CUGCCUCCCCCUCGUGGUAAAUCUGGAAAACCUCUGGAAAACCUCUUUUCGUGGAAAUGCUGCUUUGAGGAGUCCUGGCCAUGUCCUGUCUAGGUCUUGGCAUUUCCUAGCACAGAAGGUGUUACAUUAGAAGAUGGAGAGUCACAAAACGGACGCGGGAUCUAAGGGCUGGAAGAAAACAACGUUACCCUGAGGACAGUUGCUGUGACAGACACAGGUGUUGAUCAGCAUCAUCGGCUUCUUCAGGACGGCGCCCUGGGGGCAGCGGAAGGGCACCUGCACGGUUUUGGUG
Long non-coding RNA from Prinia subflava (tawny-flanked prinia), 292 nucleotides. RefSeq lists it as uncharacterized. The transcript has 3 exons. The record is from RefSeq and is a predicted model, not a curated record. NCBI's taxonomy places the organism in Eukaryota, Metazoa, Chordata, Aves, Passeriformes, Cisticolidae.